RNAcentral lists this ribosomal RNA (429 nucleotides) under Actinomycetes bacterium. Its description in RNAcentral is "Actinobacteria bacterium partial 16S ribosomal RNA". It matches the Rfam family "Bacterial small subunit ribosomal RNA", at positions 355 to 776 of the family's 1533-position model. Lineage: Bacteria; Bacillati; Actinomycetota; Actinomycetes. The record is from RNAcentral.
UAGGGAAUCUUCCGCAAUGGGCGAAAGCCUGACGGAGCAACGCCGCGUGAGUGAUGAAGGUCUUCGGAUCGUAAAACUCUGUUAUUAGGGAAGAACAAAUGUGUAAGUAACUAUGCACGUCUUGACGGUACCUAAUCAGAAAGCCACGGCUAACUACGUGCCAGCAGCCGCGGUAAUACGUAGGUGGCAAGCGUUAUCCGGAAUUAUUGGGCGUAAAGCGCGCGUAGGCGGUUUUUUAAGUCUGAUGUGAAAGCCCACGGCUCAACCGUGGAGGGUCAUUGGAAACUGGAAAACUUGAGUGCAGAAGAGGAAAGUGGAAUUCCAUGUGUAGCGGUGAAAUGCGCAGAGAUAUGGAGGAACACCAGUGGCUAAGGCGACUUUCUGGUCUGUAACUGACGCUGAUGUGCGAAAGCGUGGGGAUCAAACAGG